UAACUAUCAACCCCUAUAUUAUACAUAUAACAGUAUUAAAAGAAAAAAUUCAUACAUAUAUCACCAAAAUUCAAGCGACUGUGGUAAUACUUACAUGGGAACAAGAUGCCAAACAAAUUGGGAAAAGUGAAUCAUUAUAAGAUUGGCACAACAAAAACGAGACAAAUUAUUGGCAAACAGAAAAGUGAAUUGAAAAUUGAGGAAUCAUGUUGAUUG
Molecule: long non-coding RNA, 216 nt
Filed under: Mytilus galloprovincialis (Mediterranean mussel)
Lineage: Eukaryota; Metazoa; Mollusca; Bivalvia; Mytilida; Mytilidae
Source: RNAcentral